This 72-nucleotide transfer RNA is filed under the name bacterium. Its description in RNAcentral is "tRNA-Arg". It matches the Rfam family "tRNA". From Rfam's summary of the family: Transfer RNA (tRNA) molecules are approximately 80 nucleotides in length. Their secondary structure includes four short double-helical elements and three loops (D, anti-codon, and T loops). Further hydrogen bonds mediate the characteristic L-shaped molecular structure. tRNAs have two regions of fundamental functional importance: the anti-codon, which is responsible for specific mRNA codon recognition, and the 3' end, to which the tRNAs corresponding amino acid is attached (by aminoacyl-tRNA synthetases). tRNAs cope with the degeneracy of the genetic code in two manners: having more than one tRNA (with a specific anti-codon) for a particular amino acid; and 'wobble' base-pairing, i.e. permitting non-standard base-pairing at the 3rd anti-codon position. The record is from RNAcentral.
GCUCCCAUAGUUUAACGGAUAGAACACGGGCCUCCGGAGCUCGAAAUCCAAGUUCAAUUCUUGGUGGGAGCA